This 608-nucleotide long non-coding RNA is filed under the name Homo sapiens (human). Its description in RNAcentral is "PREDICTED lncRNA (TCONS_00255695)". The record is from RNAcentral. Lineage: Eukaryota; Metazoa; Chordata; Mammalia; Primates; Hominidae.
AUUUUCUCUUGCCUCUGCUAUGUAAGAAAACCUUUCACCUCCCACCAUGAUUUUGAGACCUCCCCAGCCAAGUGGAACUGAAGGGUCCUGUCCUGUACCCGGGAGGAAGAAAUGCUACACAGAGAAGCCAAGAUGAAUCUGAACAGACAGCCUUUGUCAGUUCCACAGAUUCCAUAAAAGUUAACUCCAGAGCAGAGAAUGAUGCCACAGUCGGGAUAACAUCCAAUAUUUGCAAUCAGAAGAAAUAUGAGAGUCUUGCUCCAUCACCCAGGCUGCAGUGCAGUGGCACGAUCUUGGCUCACUGCAAGCUCCACCUCCCGGGUUCACGCCAUUCUCCUGCCUCAGCCUCCCAAGUAGCUGGGACUACAGGCGCCCACCACCACGCCCAGCUAAAUUUUUUUGUAUUUUUAGUAGAGAUGGGGUUUCACUGUGUUAGCCAGGAUGGUCUCGAUUUCCUGACCUCGUGAUCUGCCUGCCUCGGCCUCCCAAAGUGCUGGGAUUACAGGCGUGAGCCACUGUGCCCGGCCGUAAUUAUUCUUUUCGUGUUAAGCAAUGGUAAAAGAACUGACUGAAAAUAAGAAUAUUAAAAAGUUUCUCUGCUAAAAACA